GGAAUAAAAGUCGUAACAAGGUUUCCGUAGGUGAACCUGCGGAAGGAUCAUUAUUGUAUAACCGAGGUGCGAGGGCUGUCGCUGACCCGAAAGGUCGUGCACGCCCGAGUGCCCUCACACACAUCCAUCUCACCCCUAUGUGCACCACCGCGUGGGUCCCCCUUUGGCUUGUUCGGAGGGGGGCUUACGUUUUCACACAAACUUUGUAUGCAGUGUAGAAUGUAUUUUUUGUUCUUGCGAUCACGCAAUCAAUACAACUUUCAACAACGGAUCUCUUGGCUCUC
RNAcentral lists this unclassified non-coding RNA (284 nucleotides) under plant metagenome. RNAcentral describes it as "partial contains small subunit ribosomal RNA, internal transcribed spacer 1, and 5.8S ribosomal RNA". The stretch from base 1 to 53 matches the Rfam family "Eukaryotic small subunit ribosomal RNA", at positions 1779 to 1831 of the family's 1831-position model. The record is from RNAcentral.